Molecule: ribosomal RNA, 274 nt
Filed under: uncultured bacterium
Lineage: Bacteria
Description: partial 16S ribosomal RNA
Rfam family: Bacterial small subunit ribosomal RNA
Source: RNAcentral
AUACGUACUGCGCAAACGUUAUUCGGAAUCACUGGGCUUACAGGGUGCAUAGGCGGUUCGCCAGGUCAGAUGUGAAAUCCCACAGCUCAACUGUGGAACUGCAUUUGAAACCUGCGAACUUGAGUGAACUAGAGGCAUACGGAACUUCAGGUGGAGCGGUGAAAUGUGUUGAGAUCUGAAGGAACACCAGAGGCGAAGGCGGUAUGCUGGAGUUUGUCUGACGCUGAGGCACGAAAGCCAGGGGAGCGAACGGGAUUAGAUACCCUAGUAGUCC